This 578-nucleotide ribosomal RNA is filed under the name Pichia manshurica. RNAcentral describes it as "eukaryotic LSU rRNA". It matches the Rfam family "Eukaryotic large subunit ribosomal RNA", at positions 64 to 667 of the family's 3401-position model. The record is from RNAcentral. Lineage: Eukaryota; Fungi; Ascomycota; Pichiomycetes; Pichiales; Pichiaceae.
ACCACAGGGAUUGCCCCAGUAGCGGCGAGUGAAGCGGCAAGAGCUCAGAUAUUGAAAUCGUGUUUCGGCACGAGUUGUAGAGUGUAGGCGGGAGUCUCUGUGGAGCGCGGUGUCCAAGUCCCUUGGAACAGGGUGCCUGAGAGGGUGAGAGCCCCGUAGGGUGCUGCGCGAAGCUUUUGAGGCCCUGCUGACGAGUCGAGUUGUUUGGGAAUGCAGCUCCAAGCGGGUGGUAAAUUCCAUCUAAGGCUAAAUAUUGGCGAGAGACCGAUAGCGAACAAGUACUGUGAAGGAAAGAUGAAAAGCACUUUGAAAAGAGAGUGAAACAGCACGUGAAAUUGUUGAAAGGGAAGGGUAUUGGGCUCGACAUGGGGGGUGCGCACCGCUGUCUCUUGUAGGCGGCGCUCUGGGCGCCCUCUGGGCCAGCAUCGGUUCCUGCUGCGGGAGAAGGGGCUCCGGAAAGUGGCUCUUCGGAGUGUUAUAGCCGGGGCCAGAUGCCGCGUGUGGGGACCGAGGACUGCGGCUUCUGUCUCGGGAUGCUGGCAUAACGGCGCAAUACCGCCCGUCUUGAAACACGGACC